RNAcentral lists this long non-coding RNA (543 nucleotides) under Ursus maritimus (polar bear). RNAcentral describes it as "lncRNA (ENSUMAG00000004277.1)". The record is from RNAcentral. Lineage: Eukaryota; Metazoa; Chordata; Mammalia; Carnivora; Ursidae.
GGACGCAGGACUCGAGCACACGACCCCGUGAUCAUUACCUGAGCAGAAGGCAGAUGCUUAACUGAGCCGCCAGGCGCCCCUCACAUUAAUUUCUGAUACGUCUUUCAGGACACGAUUGCCGAAGUGUCUGAUGCUGAAGACUGAGAAGGCACCUCAGUGUCUGGAGUACAGGUGCUGCUUGUGUUAAUAAAGGGCUCUAAAUUUGAACUGAGAAAACCAAAGCGCAGGGAGCACCUGGCGUGAAGGAGCGCACGGAGUGACUGAGCUGGGCUGCUGGGGGAGCGUAACUGGGGCCGUACUGUCCCCAACUCCGCCAGGUCCCCCUGGAUCGAGUCUACCUCUUGGCCGGAAGUCCUCAGAGACCAGGACGGACCGUGUCUUCUGACUGCAGACAUCUGCCCCACGUCCGGGUCCACCUCCAAGAAGUAAAGAAGUGCUGUCGGGGGAGGAGAGCUGGAAGAGCAGACGGACGACGGGCAAGAUUCAGGUUCUCUACCCCCAGCUGCUCUGAACAGAGGCGCAGUCCGAGUCUGGGAAAGGAGG